CCUACGGGGGGCAGCAGUGGGGAAUAUUGCACAAUGGGGGAAACCCUGAUGCAGCGACGCCGCGUGAGUGAAGAAGUAUUUCGGUAUGUAAAGCUCUAUCAGCAGGGAAGAUAAUGACGGUACCUGACCAAGAAGCCCCGGCUAACUACGUGCCAGCAGCCGCGGUAAUACGUAGGGGGCAAGCGUUAUCCGGAUGUACUGGGGGUAAAGGGAGCGUAGGUGGCAGGGCAAGUCAGAGGUGAAAACCCGGGGCUCAACCCCGGGAGUGCAUUUGAAACUGUCCAGCUGGAGUGCAGGAGAGGUAAGCGGAAUUCCUAGUGUAGCGGUGAAAUGCAGAGAUAUUAGGAGGAACACCAGUGGCGAAGGCGGCUUACUGGACUGUAACUGACGCUGAGGCUCGAAAGCGUGGGGAGCAAACAGGAUUAGAUACCCCGGUAGUC
RNAcentral lists this ribosomal RNA (440 nucleotides) under uncultured bacterium. RNAcentral describes it as "partial 16S ribosomal RNA". It matches the Rfam family "Bacterial small subunit ribosomal RNA", at positions 338 to 795 of the family's 1533-position model. The record is from RNAcentral.